AUUGAACGCUGGCGGCAUGCCUUACACAUGCAAGUCGAACGGUAACGGGCCUUCGGGUGCCGACGAGUGGCGAACGGGUGAGUAAUGCAUCGGAACGUACCUUUCAGUGGGGGAUAACGUAGCGAAAGUUACGCUAAUACCGCAUAUUCUGGGAGCAGGAAAGCAGGGGAUCGCAAGACCUUGCGCUGAUUGAGCGGCCGAUGUCAGAUUAGCUAGUUGGUGAGGUAAAGGCCCACCAAGGCGACGAUCUGUAGCGGGUCUGAGAGGAUGAUCCGCCACACUUGAACUGAGACACGGUCCAGACUCCUACGGGAGGCAGCAGUGGGGAAUUUUGGACAAUGGGGGCAACCCUGAUCCAGCCAUGCCGCGUGAGUGAAGAAGGCCUUCGGGUUGUAAAGCUCUUUCGGUCGGGAAGAAAUCGCAUGGGUUAAUACCCUGUGCGGAUGACGGUACCGGCAUAAGAAGCACCGGCUAACUACGUGCCAGCCGCCGCCGUAA
This 498-nucleotide ribosomal RNA is filed under the name uncultured bacterium. Its description in RNAcentral is "partial 16S ribosomal RNA". It matches the Rfam family "Bacterial small subunit ribosomal RNA", at positions 30 to 523 of the family's 1533-position model. The record is from RNAcentral.